Long non-coding RNA from Daphnia carinata, 502 nucleotides. RefSeq lists it as uncharacterized. The transcript has 2 exons. The record is from RefSeq and is a predicted model, not a curated record. Lineage: Eukaryota; Metazoa; Arthropoda; Branchiopoda; Diplostraca; Daphniidae.
UUUAUAGUUCUGUCACAGCAAUCUUUUAUAGUUCUGUCACAGCAAUCCUUUAUAGUUCUGUCACAGCUAGAAGCCUCAAAUAAUUCUGCUUCUCUUGCUAAAGAACAACUUGUCCUUUACGUUCAGAGUGUUGGUGAAGCUGGGUACUUAAAUGGCCCUAAAGAUGUUUCAUUUCGUUGGCAUUGCAGCGAUGAACAUCAUACAUGGACUUUUUAGGAAAGGAUUUUCAGCAUACUGGGAACACAACUAUCAACAAUGCAACAUUCUAGGGGUGCUAUUUUAUCAUUUAAGAGCCUUAUACAAUGAUUUUCAUCUGCAAUUUGUAUGGCCUUUCCCAAGCUUCUGCCAGAAAUUGAAUCUAUAAGUCAUGUAAGUCACAUGAGCAACAAUUGAGAUGCUUAAUGGUGUUUUUCUUUUCUCAGCAUAGGUUAAUAGUAACAUUGGAUCUGAAAAGAUUCUUGGUUGGGGCAAGACACUGAAUAAAUUGUAAUGAUUGAAUGGA